This 253-nucleotide ribosomal RNA is filed under the name uncultured bacterium. Its description in RNAcentral is "partial 16S ribosomal RNA". It matches the Rfam family "Bacterial small subunit ribosomal RNA", at positions 524 to 776 of the family's 1533-position model. The record is from RNAcentral.
UACGUAGGGGGCAAGCGUUGUCCGGAAUCAUUGGGCGUAAAGCGCGCGUGGGCGGCCAGAUUAGUCCGGUGUGAAAGUCAGAGGCUCAACCUUUGAAUGCCGCUGGAAACUGUCUGGCUUGAGUCCGGAAGGGGCGAGUGGAAUUCCGGGUGUAGCGGUGGAAUGCGUAGAGAUCCGGAAGAACACCGGUGGCGAAGGCGGCCUGCUGGGCAGUUGCUGACACUGAGGCGCGACAGCGUGGGGAGCAAACAGG